UGUAACGUCAGAAUUUUAAUGCUUAUUAACAUCCAUUUUGAUGUAAUAUUACAUCAGCUCAAAGUUACACUGAAAAGAGAUUCACAAAGUUCCAUUACGUUGCAGCUGUGUAAUAUUCAAAUGUUGCAACAGUGAAUAUUACGUAGAAUCAGAUGCAACCAGUUGGUUCUAAAUUGUGUGUGUCAUAUUACACAAAUUGAAUGUAAUAUUGUAUUUGAUAAUGCUAUAAUUUUCAAUCUAGCAACACUUCUCACUUUUCGUUUGCAUCGUGCCAUCGAUGAGGAUCGAGCGCCAUAUUUGUUAGUCGCAAAGUGUCACAAAGUUUAGAUUUAUAAUUAAAGUUAAAUGCUGUUUAUACAGCGUUUUUAAUUAAAAUAUCUACCAACAUUAGUGCGUUUAUUCUAUAGUGCUUCAUUCUGGCGUAAAUUUUCUGCGGGUUUUCCUAAACUUUGAUCGAGAUCACACUUGACGCCCAUAUGGUAGGUAUAAGUAUACCGUGAACAAAGUUCUCGGCGCUGUAAACUCUUUAUUUACACGGAUGUACCGCCACCGGGCUUAGGACACAUCACUUCGUGCCAGUGCAUUAAAUGGUUUAUGGAGGCGGCCGGUCCGACUGGCCAACAUUUCAGACGGGCGUACCGGACAAUGUGUCGACUAUCCUGCGACUGGCUGGUCAAUUGUACAUGAGCUACAUUUCGUUCUGUGUCACCCACAUGCGAACACCUGCUGUCCGGUUUUGACAACCUGGUUUUAGCCUGUCCGAUGUAUCUCGACAACAAUUUCGCUUUUGUAGAGUUCCGUUCGAUUGCUGAAACAACCUAUUCAAGGGCACUUUAGGGCAGUAUCCUGCACUAUCCCAUGCCAGAUACGACCGACUCCACUGUGCCAGCCAGAAAAACGUAAUAAGUGUAGUGAUUAGUACACUGAGGCAUGAUUCGCCGUACAAAAUCGUCAUUGGUGGCCGCCGAAAGAGUUGAGAUCUGAACCGGAACUUGUUUUCUUAUGCAAGCAGCGAGGCAAGCAGACACCUCGGCAGGCAAAUAAUGAAGAUUAAUGUGAUGAAUAACACCGUCCAUCACGCAGUACCGUCCAGCCUGAUACCUAUUUCGAAACGCAUAAACACACGGAAUUCCUGGAACAGGUUAUUGAAAUGAAGAGCAUUACCUUCCGGUUGUUUCAAUAUUUAGCCAUCGUGUGCAGGCGUUGUUUAAAUUCGUGAACAGAAGCAAUCAGGUUUUAUUUGGACGGUGCAAGUAAUACAAGAUAUUCCCGAUAUCGGCACACCGCUCAAACUCUGAACCAGCAGUUAUUAUUUGUUUACUUUGCCUGUGAAACUGAAUGGCGAAGCGGUUUCGAAGUUCCUCCGAAUGCUGAAGCCUUCCGUGCCGCUCUGUUUAACAUCACUCCAGCGAAAGUAAUCCGGAACCGAGCCCUGCAAGGAAAUUGCCCAAUAUCGACUCGCCCAAUCUGCGGAAAGUUCUGCCGUGGCCCAAGGAUGACUCAGCACCUACCGACGAUGACGAAAACGUGGAGAAACUUAUCAUCAUCGGCUUAUUUAGAACUGAAGAAGAUGAAUCAGUUGACCGGUUCAAGGUGUAUCGCCAUUGCAUGAGAACCGACCCCUGGAGGCGACUGGAUACAAGGCGAACGCCUUCAUAAUAGAUCAGAGCAUAGUGAGCUAAAAAUGAUUAUAUUUAUUAAACCGACAUGAUGUAUUGAAUAUAC
Long non-coding RNA from Armigeres subalbatus, 1725 nucleotides. RefSeq lists it as uncharacterized. The transcript has 6 exons. NCBI's taxonomy places the organism in Eukaryota, Metazoa, Arthropoda, Insecta, Diptera, Culicidae. The record is from RefSeq and is a predicted model, not a curated record.